This is a long non-coding RNA of Bos taurus (domestic cattle), 652 nucleotides long. Lineage: Eukaryota; Metazoa; Chordata; Mammalia; Artiodactyla; Bovidae. The record is from Ensembl.
UAAGUCUCCUGUGUGCUGAGUCACGUGUUCCCUUUACUGGAGAGAAGUUCUCAAUGAAGUCAUUUGCAGUUAUAAACUUCUCCUUACGUACUGAUUUAGCUGCAUUCCACAAGUUUUGUAUAUAGUAUUUUCAUUAUGGUUCAAGUCUAAGCGUUGUCUAAAGUUUUGUGUUUUUUUUUUUUUAAGGUAUUGUUCUUUAAUUUUACUUAUUUAUUUGUUUUGGCUGUGCUGGGUUUUUGUGGCUGCAUGGCCUUUUCUCUAGCUGCGGUGCUCGGGCUUCUCACUGUGGUGGUUUCUCUUGUUAUGGAGCACAGGUUCUAGGAUGCGUGGGCUCAGUAGUUGCGGUUCCUGGGCUCUAGAGCAUAGGCUCAGUAGUUGUGUAGUGCAUGGGCUCAGCCAUUCCACGACAUGUGGAAUCUUCCCAGACCAGGGAUGGAAUCCAUGUCUCCUGCAUUGUACUUUGGCCACCUGAUGCGAAGAGGCAACUUAGUGGAAAAGACCCUCAUCCUGGGAAAGAUUGAGGGCAGGAGGAGAGGGGGACGACAGAGGAUGAGAUGGUUGGACGGCAUCACUGAUUCAAUGAACAUGAGUUUGAGCAAGCUCCAGGAGAUGGUGAAAGGACAGGGACGCCUGGUGUGCUGCAGUCCAUGGG